RNAcentral lists this unclassified non-coding RNA (337 nucleotides) under soil metagenome. RNAcentral's name for it is "partial contains 5.8S ribosomal RNA, internal transcribed spacer 2, and large subunit ribosomal RNA". The stretch from base 1 to 120 matches the Rfam family "5.8S ribosomal RNA", at positions 35 to 154 of the family's 154-position model. The record is from RNAcentral.
GAUGAAGAACGUAGUGAAAUGCGAUAAGUAAUGUGAAUUGCAGAAUUCCGUGAAUCAUCGAAUCUUUGAACGCACAUUGCGCCCCCUGGUAUUCCGGGGGGCAUGCCUGUCCGAGCGUCAUUGCAACCUUCAAGCGCGGCUUGUGUGUUGGGUCUCGUCCCCCGUGGACGGGCCCGAAAGGCAGUGGCGGCGUCCCGACAUGGUGCCCGAGCGUAUGGGAAACCUCUUCCGCUCGAAUCGGCCCAUGCGGCGCUGGUCGUAACCAAAUUUUUUUACCGGUUGACCUCGGAUCAGGUAGGGAUACCCGCUGAACUUAAGCAUAUCAAUAAGCGGAGGA